CAACAGGGAUUGCCCCAGUAACGGCGAGUGAAGCGGCAACAGCUCAAAUUUGAAAUCUGGCUCUCGGGCCCGAGUUGUAAUUUGUAGAGGAUGCUUUUGGUGAGGUGCCUUCCGAGUUCCCUGGAACGGGACGCCAUAGAGGGUGAGAGCCCCGUCUGGUCGGACACCGAUCCUCUGUAAAGCUCCUUCGACGAGUCGAGUAGUUUGGGAAUGCUGCUCUAAAUGGGAGGUAUAUGUCUUCUAAAGCUAAAUACCGGCCAGAGACCGAUAGCGCACAAGUAGAGUGAUCGAAAGAUGAAAAGAACUUUGAAAAGAGAGUUAAACAGUACGUGAAAUUGUUGAAAGGGAAGCGCUUGUGACCAGACUUGGGCUUGGUUGAUCAUCCGGGGUUCUCCCCGGUGCACUCUUCCGGCUCAGGCCAGCAUCAGUUCGCCCUGGGGGACAAAGGCUUCGGGAAUGUGGCUCUCUCCGGGGAGUGUUAUAGCCCGCUGCGUAAUACCCUGUGGCGGACUGAGGUUCGCGCAUUCGCAAGGAU
Molecule: ribosomal RNA, 535 nt
Filed under: Fusarium yamamotoi
Lineage: Eukaryota; Fungi; Ascomycota; Sordariomycetes; Hypocreales; Nectriaceae
Description: partial large subunit ribosomal RNA
Rfam family: Eukaryotic large subunit ribosomal RNA
Source: RNAcentral